Molecule: ribosomal RNA, 687 nt
Filed under: uncultured bacterium
Lineage: Bacteria
Description: bacterial SSU rRNA
Rfam family: Bacterial small subunit ribosomal RNA
Source: RNAcentral
AGCACGGGGGCAACCCUGGUGGCGAGUGGCGAACGGGUGAGUAAUAUAUCGGAACAUGUCCGGAAGUGGGGGAUAACGUACCGAAAGGUACGCUAAUACCGCAUAUGCCCUGAGGGGGAAAGCGGGGGAUCGUAAGACCUCGCGCUUUCGGAGUGGCCGAUAUCAGAUUAGCUAGUUGGUGAGGUAAAGGCUCACCAAGGCGACGAUCUGUAGCUGGUCUGAGAGGACGACCAGCCACACUGGAACUGAGACACGGUCCAGACUCCUACGGGAGGCAGCAGUGGGGAAUUUUGGACAAUGGGCGCAAGCCUGAUCCAGCCAUGCCGCGUGAGUGAAGAAGGCCUUCGGGUUGUAAAGCUCUUUCAGCCGGAAAGAAAACGCACGGGAUAAUACCUUGUGUGGAUGACGGUACCGGAAGAAGAAGCACCGGCUAACUACGUGCCAGCAGCCGCGGUAAUACGUAGGGUGCGAGCGUUAAUCGGAAUUACUGGGCGUAAAGCGUGCGCAGGCGGUUUUGUAAGACAGAUGUGAAAUCCCCGGGCUUAACCUGGGAACUGCAUUUGUGACUGCAAGACUAGAGUACGGCAGAGGGGGGUAGAAUUCCACGUGUAGCAGUGAAAUGCGUAGAUAUGUGGAGGAAUACCGAUGGCGAAGGCAGCCCCCUGGGUCGAUACUGACGCUCAUGCA